AAGUCGUAACAAGGUUUCCGUAGGUGAACCUGCGGAAGGAUCAUUACAGAGUUCAUGCCCUCUGGGGUAGAUCUCCCACCCGUGAAUACAUACCUUUGUUGCUUUGGCGGACACCCCUCCAGGGGUAGCUUCGGUUACUUGCGCCGCCAGAGGACCAAAACUCGUUUAUUUAGUGAUGUCUGAGUACUAUAUAAUAGUUAAAACUUUCAACAACGGAUCUCUUGGUUCUG
RNAcentral lists this unclassified non-coding RNA (230 nucleotides) under Hyaloscyphaceae sp. RNAcentral's name for it is "partial contains small subunit ribosomal RNA, internal transcribed spacer 1, and 5.8S ribosomal RNA". The stretch from base 1 to 46 matches the Rfam family "Eukaryotic small subunit ribosomal RNA", at positions 1786 to 1831 of the family's 1831-position model. The record is from RNAcentral. Lineage: Eukaryota; Fungi; Ascomycota; Leotiomycetes; Helotiales; Hyaloscyphaceae.